Molecule: ribosomal RNA, 292 nt
Filed under: uncultured bacterium
Lineage: Bacteria
Description: partial 16S ribosomal RNA
Rfam family: Bacterial small subunit ribosomal RNA
Source: RNAcentral
GUGCCAGCAGCCGCGGUAAUACGUAGGUGGCAAGCGUUGUCCGGAUUUAUUGGGUUUAAAGGGUGCGUAGGCGGUUCCAUAAGUCAGUGGUGAAAUACAAUAGCUUAACUAUUGAGGUGCCAUUGAUACUGCGGAACUUGAGUACAGACGAGGUAGGCGGAAUUGACGGUGUAGCGGUGAAAUGCUUAGAUAUCGUCAAGAACACCGAUAGCGAAGGCAGCUUACUAGACUGUAACUGACGCUGAGGCACGAAAGUGUGGGGAUCAAACAGGAUUAGAUACCCUGGUAGUCC